RNAcentral lists this transfer RNA (74 nucleotides) under Nothoprocta perdicaria. It matches the Rfam family "tRNA". Rfam says of the family: Transfer RNA (tRNA) molecules are approximately 80 nucleotides in length. Lineage: Eukaryota; Metazoa; Chordata; Aves; Tinamiformes; Tinamidae. The record is from Rfam by way of RNAcentral.
GCUAGGAUGGCAGAGCUCGGCAACUGCAAAAGACUUAAACCCUUUAUCCAGAGGUUCAAAUCCUCUUCCUAGCU